Molecule: ribosomal RNA, 253 nt
Filed under: uncultured bacterium
Lineage: Bacteria
Description: partial 16S ribosomal RNA
Rfam family: Bacterial small subunit ribosomal RNA
Source: RNAcentral
UACGUAGGUGGCAAGCGUUAUCCGGAAUUAUUGGGCGUAAAGCGCGCGUAGGCGGUUUCUUAAGUCUGAUGUGAAAGCCCCCGGCUCAACCGGGGAGGGUCAUUGGAAACUGGGGAACUUGAGUGCAGAAGAGGAGAGUGGAAUUCCAUGUGUAGCGGUGAAAUGCGCAGAGAUAUGGAGGAACACCAGUGGCGAAGGCGGCUCUCUGGUCUGUAACUGACGCUGAUGUGCGAAAGCGUGGGGAGCGAACAGG